RNAcentral lists this ribosomal RNA (512 nucleotides) under uncultured Glomeraceae. RNAcentral describes it as "SSU rRNA". It matches the Rfam family "Eukaryotic small subunit ribosomal RNA", at positions 569 to 1078 of the family's 1831-position model. Lineage: Eukaryota; Fungi; Glomeromycota; Glomeromycetes; Glomerales; Glomeraceae. The record is from RNAcentral.
AACAGCCGCGGUAAUUCCAGCUCCAAUAGCGUAUAUUAAAGUUGUUGCAGUUAAAAAGCUCGUAGUUGAAUUUCGGAAUCGACGGAUUGGUCGCGCCUUCGGUGUGUACUGGUCUUGCCGGUUUCUCCCUUCUGACGAACCACGAUGUCAUUAAUUUGGUGUCGUGGGGAAUCAGGACUGUUACUUUGAAAAAUUAGAGUGUUUAAAGCAGGCAUUAGCUUGAAUACAUUAGCAUGGAAUAAUAAAAUAGGACGUUUGAUCUUAUUUUGUUGGUUUCUAGGAUCGACGUAAUGAUUAAUAGGGAUAGUUGGGGGCAUUAGUAUUCAAUUGUCAGAGGUGAAAUUCUUGGAUUUAUUGAAGACUAGCUACUGCGAAAGCAUUUGCCAAGGAUGUUUUCAUUAAUCAAGAACGAAAGUUAGGGGAUCGAAGACGAAUCAGAUACCGUCGUAGUCUUAAACCAUAAAACUAUAGCCGACUAGGGAUCGGAUGAUGUUAAUUUUUAAUGAACUUCA